This 1418-nucleotide long non-coding RNA is filed under the name Monodelphis domestica (gray short-tailed opossum). Its description in RNAcentral is "lncRNA (ENSMODG00000040006.1)". Lineage: Eukaryota; Metazoa; Chordata; Mammalia; Didelphimorphia; Didelphidae. The record is from RNAcentral.
UUCACUGAGCAGCCUGGCUGUCUCUCAAAGUACUUAUUUUAUCUAAUGAAAUAAUGUCUUUAAAAAACAUUUUUCAUUAUACUUGGUACAUAGUUGAUGUAAUAUAAUAAAGGUCGAUUCCCUUUCCCUAUCAUCCUUGCAACAGCUUUGCGAAGUGAAUGCUUUCUACAAAGAACAAGCAGUAAGCUUCUGAAGGCAGGAUUCGAACCUGUCUUUUUGACUCCAGCUCCAGUUCUCAGCCCUCUGGACUAAGCUCCCUAUUUCCUUUCCCAGUCUCUGCAGAGCUCACUAAGGCUCCAAAUACUCCCUCCUCCUCCUCCCUUUUCUUUUUCUAUGCAAUUGUGCCUUAGGAAAUGUUGUUUUUAAGCAGCAAGUUAAAACUUCAACAUUCCUAGCUGUAAUAACAAACUGAGAAAGUUCACUGGCCAGCACUUGAGAAUAUUAUGUUCCAGGCCAAAGUGCUUAAGUGCUUGGGGACUGUGGCUCCUGGUGCUACACACAGGUGUUUACCAAAUACUGUGCCAUUCAGUCCUGGAGAGAGGAGGGCUUUCUCCCUCCCUCCUCUCCCCCCACCCCAGGGCAGUUCUGUCUGAUUAAACAGUCUAGUGCUUUUAGAUUUGAGUCCACCCCUUACCGCCCUUCUAAAGCACUCCAGUUCCAAUAAAGGCAGCUCUAUUGAGGUCAGAUUUCCAUCUUUAGAAAUGGCUUUCUUUCAUUAUGAUUAACCCUUUCCUGCGCUGCUUCCCUCACAGGCAUACCCAUCUGCCCAUGUCCUCCAUUCCAGCUUCUGAUGGCUAGAAGACCAGGACAGGGCUUUUUGUUUUUGUUUUUGAAACCAAAGCUUAGCCUACAGUUCUGACCCCAAGAAGAUUUGAAGGAGCAACUGGUCCUACUUUGUGAAGAAGAAUAAUUUCCCAAAAUUUGACAACAAAGGAGUCAAACCAAGAGAGAACAGCUGAAGAGAAAUGGUCCAGCAAAUGCCCUUUGAAAGUGCUUCCAGUUCCAUUUCCACAACUACGGCCAGUCAGAGAGGUUGAUGGUCACGCCCUGGUUAGUAGCUGUUACAGAACAUCCAUGUAUUUUCCAAUGCCUCUUCAAGAUACUUCCAUUAGAUGUUAUCAUGAUCUUGUUGGGAGCAGGCUCCUAGCCUCUUCCCCAAGGGGAGAUGCUACCAAAAAUGCUAUGCAUGUGCCAUGCCCUUUUAGUCUCAUCUGAGCCUACUUUUCUGUGCUGGGGAACGGAUUUUUUUUCAUACGUAUUUGAAAUGAAGUCCAAACUGAAUUGGUAAUGAUCUCUUUGGCAGAAUAUGGAGAUGUAAGGAAUGUAGGAUUAUUUCAAGCUUCACAGCAUGAGACAUUAAGUACAAAUAGAAACUAGCUAAGAAUAAAGAGUGGAUUGAGCCAAAUAAGAGCUGACCU